This is a non-coding RNA of Equus caballus (horse), 531 nucleotides long. Lineage: Eukaryota; Metazoa; Chordata; Mammalia; Perissodactyla; Equidae. The record is from the annotation of a RefSeq genome assembly.
CUUCCUGUUUGGGGGCAGAAACUUCUAAUAGCCCCAGAAACUCAGCACUCAGGCAUUCACAGGAAGGCUGCUUUCUGGGCUUGAGUGAGCGUGAGAGAAAUUUCAUCCAGGAGAAGAGUUUCUAUCAUGCUCUGCCCUGGCCUGCUGUGGACUUUCCUGGCCUCCUUUGGCUUCAGAUCCAGCAUGGCUCAGAAAGUAACCCAAGCUCAGACCGUAAUAACAGGGAAGGAAAGCGAAGCUGUGACCAUGGACUGCAAGUAUGAAACCAGUUGGAGUAGACAUCACUUGCACUGGUACAAACAGCCUCCCAGUGGAGAGAUGAUUUUCCUUAUUUAUCAGGAUACUGAUAAGCCAAGUGCAAAGCAGGGUCGCUUCUCUGUGAACCUUCAAAAGACGAAAAAAAUCAUCAGCCUCACCAUCUCUUCUUUGCAACUGGCAGACUCAGCAACAUACUUCUGUGCUCUGGAGGAUCCCACAGUAACAGAAAUGACUGUGGAAGACAAUCAAAAACCUUAGAGCUCCGUAAAGGAA